UCCCUGGUGGCUCAGUGAUAAAGAAUCUGCCUGCCAAUGCAGAAGACACGGGUUCGACCCCUGACCCGGGAA
This 72-nucleotide transfer RNA is filed under the name Bos taurus (domestic cattle). It matches the Rfam family "tRNA". Rfam says of the family: Transfer RNA (tRNA) molecules are approximately 80 nucleotides in length. Their secondary structure includes four short double-helical elements and three loops (D, anti-codon, and T loops). Further hydrogen bonds mediate the characteristic L-shaped molecular structure. tRNAs have two regions of fundamental functional importance: the anti-codon, which is responsible for specific mRNA codon recognition, and the 3' end, to which the tRNAs corresponding amino acid is attached (by aminoacyl-tRNA synthetases). tRNAs cope with the degeneracy of the genetic code in two manners: having more than one tRNA (with a specific anti-codon) for a particular amino acid; and 'wobble' base-pairing, i.e. permitting non-standard base-pairing at the 3rd anti-codon position. RNAcentral also lists the same sequence under 3 other names. The record is from Rfam by way of RNAcentral. Lineage: Eukaryota; Metazoa; Chordata; Mammalia; Artiodactyla; Bovidae.